AGUGAACGCUGGCGGUAGGCCUAACACAUGCAAGUCGAACGGCAGCACAGUAAGAGCUUGCUCUUACGGGUGGCGAGUGGCGGACGGGUGAGGAAUACAUCGGAAUCUACUUUUUCGUGGGGGAUAACGUAGGGAAACUUACGCUAAUACCGCAUACGACCUACGGGUGAAAGCAGGGGAUCUUCGGACCUUGCGCGAUUGAAUGAGCCGAUGUCGGAUUAGCUAGUUGGCGGGGUAAAGGCCCACCAAGGCGACGAUCCGUAGCUGGUCUGAGAGGAUGGUCCGCCACACAGGAACUGAGACACGGUCCAGACUCCGACGGGAGGCAGCAGUGGGGAAUAUUGGACAAUGGGCGCAAGCCUGAUCCAGCCAUACCGCGUGGGUGAAGAAGGCCUUCGGGUUGUAAAGCCCUUUUGUUGGGAAAGAAAAGCAGCAGGUUAAUACCCCGCUGUUCUGACGGUACCCAAAGAAUAAGCACCGGCUAACUUCGU
RNAcentral lists this ribosomal RNA (491 nucleotides) under uncultured bacterium. RNAcentral describes it as "partial 16S ribosomal RNA". It matches the Rfam family "Bacterial small subunit ribosomal RNA", at positions 29 to 506 of the family's 1533-position model. The record is from RNAcentral.